This is a long non-coding RNA of Ailuropoda melanoleuca (giant panda), 1584 nucleotides long. RefSeq lists it as uncharacterized. The transcript is spliced from 3 exons. Lineage: Eukaryota; Metazoa; Chordata; Mammalia; Carnivora; Ursidae. The record is from RefSeq and is a predicted model, not a curated record.
GCGCGCGCACCGGAACGCCGCGGCCGGCGCUGGUCCAUCCGGCCCCUCGGCGGCCCGCGGGCCCGGCGGCGAGCGGGCGGGAGUUGGUGUCUGCGCUGCCGGCCGGGGAGCCUCCGCCCCGGACUGGGCUGGCACAGCCGCUAGGCGAAAAUGAAAUUUCAAUGGCGCGGACGCCUCUGUUUUCAGGGCAGAGGGCCGGUUGGUCGUCUUAAAAACCCGGGAACGCGGGGCACCGUUAUUCGGGUGCAAGCCCGCGCCUCCUGGGGGACGGGGAGCUCCUCGAGGCUAGGUGGUUACUGUAUUUUCCCUGUGGUAGUCUCCAUCCCAGCCUCCCGCUGAGCGGAAGCCUCUGUGUUUGUUGAUUGAAGAAGCAGUCUCACAACAGAGAACCUGUAGGUUAAGUAGGUGGUUCAUUGGUGGGUAUUGAAUUGUUUGUGCCCUACUCUUUACGGAUGGUUUUUAUUUAGGUGUUAAAGGUCGCCAGCUUCUGGCAGUAUUAGGUGAAGUAUUGAAAUCGUCCAGAGCCUGUUAUUUAUGGUCUUUUAGUGAACACGUGAUCCAAAUCUUAAUUAAGUCCUUUUCCUCUCUCCCAGCUAUUUGGAACUGGUGAACAGUGUGAUAUAUGUGUGUAACACAACUGCAAAAUUGCUUAAAUAUAUAAAGAAAAUUGCUUCUCUUGGUCUUAGGAAUUUUGAGUUGUAGGUUUUCUUUAGAUAUUUUUCUCUUUUUAAGUCGUGGUUUUGACUUGCUUUGGGAGGUGUGGACCACUUAUUUAUCCUAGAUGCCCUGAAAUGUUUUGGCUAGACUCUCCUUGAUCAUCAUGCUUUGUAGGAUGAAGAUUCUUUGCUAAUUGAUUUUUUUCUUGCAUUUUUCUUGUUAUGAAUAAAUACUGAUCCAAGAUGGAUGGGUUAACAUUUUUUCUUAAACAAUUGUGCUUUGAUCAGGCUGACCCCAACUUCGAGUAUUUUGUCUUGUAUCUGUAUUUGUAUUUGAUAGGAAAUGCUUUAAACACACCUUUUUUUUUCUUUUUUUCUUUUCCCAUGUUCUCAACUCGAGAAGAAGUAAGUGGGGAAAAGAGUUAAAUUGUAAUGUCUUGGUGAAUCACACAGAUCCUGAAGCUGGAAGGGGCCCCAAGAAAUGAUAUGGUCCAGUCCUCUUCUGCCAGGAAGAUCUUACAGGAGAGUGACUGAUGCUGUUUGGCAGUGUGAAUCCUGACAUGUGACUUCUCCGUGUGGCCUGGGCUUCCUCAUAGCAUGCUGGACACAUUCCAGUAGGACGCAAGAGAACAAAGUGGCAUUUUACAUAAGCCACUUCCUCUGCUACUGCUUGAGCCAUCACACAGAGCAUCAGAAAUAGGAUGUCAUAUGGUACAAGAGGCCCUCAGAUGACUUCCAGAUGCGUAAUUCUCUCUGGAUCCCAGAAACAAUGGCCAGUGGCACAGAGCAGAUUGGGGAAAAUUCCACUACCUGGUGCCAAAGUCUUGCUGUGCAUUUUGAAGGCUCAGAGGCUCUAGAAGGCUCACUUAAGUAUGUCUGACGAUGAAAGUGGUUGCAUUGGAAUUGACCUCAAAAAUUGCUAAAAAGA